CCUACGGGAGGCAGCAGUGAGGAAUAUUGGUCAAUGGCCGUAAGGCUGAACCAGCCAAGUCGCGUGAAGGAAGAAGGAUCUAUGGUUUGUAAAAUUCUUUUAUAGGGGAAUAAAGGUAUCCACGUGUGGAUAUUUGCAUGUACCCUAUGAAUAAGCAUCGGCUAACUCCGUGCCAGCAGCCGCGGUAAUACGGAGGAUGCGAGCGUUAUACGGAUUUAUUGGGUUUAAAGGGUGCGUAGGUUGUUUUUUAAGUCAGCGGUGAAAGUUUGGGGCUCAACCAUAAAAUUGCCGUUGAAACUGGAAGACGUGAGUGUGUUUGAUGUAGGCGGAAUGCGUGGUGUAGCGGUGAAAGGCAUAGAUAUCACGCAGAACUCCGAUUGCGAAGGCAGCUUACUAAGCCAUAACUGACACUGAAGCACGAAAGCGUGGGGAUCAAACAGGAUUAGAUACCCCGGUAGUC
RNAcentral lists this ribosomal RNA (460 nucleotides) under uncultured bacterium. RNAcentral's name for it is "partial 16S ribosomal RNA". It matches the Rfam family "Bacterial small subunit ribosomal RNA", at positions 338 to 795 of the family's 1533-position model. The record is from RNAcentral.